GAUGAACGCUGGCGGCGUGCCUAACACAUGCAAGUCGAACGGAGUCGUUUUGGAAAUCUCUUCGGAGAUGGAAUUCUCGACUUAGUGGCGGACGGGUGAGUAACGCGUGAGCAAUCUGCCUUUAAGAGGGGGAUAACAGUCGGAAACGGCUGCUAAUACCGCAUAAAGCAUUAAAUUCGCAUGUUUUUGAUGCCAAAGGAGCAAUCCGCUUUUAGAUGAGCUCGCGUCUGAUUAGCUAGUUGGCGGGGUAACGGCCCACCAAGGCGACGAUCAGUAGCCGGACUGAGAGGUUGAACGGCCACAUUGGGACUGAGACACGGCCCAGACUCCUACGGGAGGCAGCAGUGGGGAAUAUUGCGCAAUGGGGGAAACUCUGACGCAGCAACGCCGCGUGAUUGAAGAAGGCCUUCGGGUUGUAAAGAUCUUUAAUCAGGGACGAAACAAAUGACGGUACCUGAAGAAUAAGCGCCGGCUAACUACGUG
This 483-nucleotide ribosomal RNA is filed under the name uncultured bacterium. RNAcentral describes it as "partial 16S ribosomal RNA". It matches the Rfam family "Bacterial small subunit ribosomal RNA", at positions 28 to 507 of the family's 1533-position model. The record is from RNAcentral.